UAUGUGGAGCAUGAGAAGAAGCAAGGCUAACUUUGCUAGACUAAUAAACGUGCUCUCUGGUGUGGUUGACAUGGGUCGGUGGCUGGAGUCUAUACGCAAUUGGCACAAACCGGUGUACUCAGCCUUGUUUCUUCUAGUUUUCCUGCUGCUAAUAGCAAUGCCUGAGCUCAUUAUUCCUACCAUAUUGCUUUACAUGGCAUUUCUGGGGCUUUGGCGAUAUCGGUCAAGGCCACGGCACCCACCCUAUAUGGAUACAAGGCUUUCUUAUGCUGAGAAUGUUUAUCUUGACGAAUUGAAUGAGGAAUUCGAUUCCUUCCCAACUAGUCGAAGUGCGGAGAUAGUAAGAAUGAGGUAUGAUCGGUUGAGGAGUGUGGCAGGGAGGAUUCAGACAGUGGUCGGUGAUAUGGCUACACAGGGUGAACGUGCCCAAGCACUGCUAAGUUGGAGAGAUCCAAGAGCCACAUUCUUGUUUGCUGUUACGUGUUUGUUUGCAGCUGUUGGAUUCUAUGCUGUGCCUAUCAGGGUUGUGGUGGCCUUCUGGUGGCUGUACAUGCUGAGGCCGCCAAGGUUUAGGAACAGGUUGCCUUGCAGGGCUUUGAAUUUCUUCAGGAGGUUGCCUGCCAAGGCUGAUAGUUUGUUGUAGAGUGAUGAUUUUUAAUAUGUAAUGUGGAAGUGCAAGGUUCAAGUGGAAAUUUGGAGCAUGACAGCAUGUUUCAAAUAUAUUUUACAUAAUUUAUAAUUAAUUUGUUUUAAUUGAUAUAUAACAAAAUAAAUAUACUAAAAAUUAAUCAUAUACUAAAAAUUAUAAUAA
RNAcentral lists this unclassified non-coding RNA (811 nucleotides) under Hevea brasiliensis (rubber tree). The record is from RNAcentral. Lineage: Eukaryota; Viridiplantae; Streptophyta; Magnoliopsida; Malpighiales; Euphorbiaceae.